Molecule: ribosomal RNA, 501 nt
Filed under: uncultured bacterium
Lineage: Bacteria
Description: partial 16S ribosomal RNA
Rfam family: Bacterial small subunit ribosomal RNA
Source: RNAcentral
AUUGAACGCUGGCGGCAUGCCUUACACAUGCAAGUCGAACGGCAGCACGGGUGCUUGCACCUGGUGGCGAGUGGCGAACGGGUGAGUAAUACAUCGGAACGUACCUUAUCGUGGGGGAUAACGCAGCGAAAGCUGUGCUAAUACCGCAUACGCACUGAGGGCGAAAGCGGGGGAGCGAAAGACCUCGCGCUAUUAGAGCGGCCGAUGCCUGAUUAGCUUGUUGGUGGGGUAAAAGCCCACCAAGGCGACGAUCAGUAGCUGGUCUGAGAGGACGAUCAGCCACACUGGGACUGAGACACGGCCCAGACUCCUACGGGAGGCAGCAGUGGGGAAUUUUGGACAAUGGGGGCAACCCUGAUCCAGCAAUGCCGCGUGAGUGAAGAAGGCCUUCGGGUUGUAAAGCUCUUUUGUCAGGGAAGAAACACCGGCUCUAACACAGUCCGGGAAUGACGGUACCUGAAGAAUAAGCACCGGCUAACUACGUGCCAGCCGCCGCCGUAA